This 497-nucleotide ribosomal RNA is filed under the name uncultured bacterium. Its description in RNAcentral is "partial 16S ribosomal RNA". It matches the Rfam family "Bacterial small subunit ribosomal RNA", at positions 28 to 507 of the family's 1533-position model. The record is from RNAcentral.
GAUGAACGCUGGCGGCGUGCCUAAUACAUGCAAGUCGGGCGAACGGACGAGAAGCUUGCUUCUCUGAUGUUAGCGGCGGACGGGUGAGUAACACGUGGAUAACCUACCUAUAAGACUGGGAUAACUUCGGGAAACCGGAGCUAAUACCGUAUAAUAUUUUGAACCGCAUGGUUCAAAAGUGAAAGACGGUCUUGCUGUCACUUAUAGAUGGAUCCGCGCUGCAUUAGCUAGUUGGUAAGGUAACGGCUUACCAAGGCAACGAUGCAUAGCCGACCUGAGAGGGUGAUCGGCCACACUGGAACUGAGACACGGUCCAGACUCAUACGGGAGGCAGCAGUAGGGAAUCUUCCGCAAUGGGCGAAAGCCUGACGGAGCAACGCCGCGUGAGUGAUGAAGGUCUUCGGAUCGUAAAACUCUGUUAUUAGGGAAGAACAUAUGUGUAAGUAACUGUGCACAUCUUGACGGUACCUAAUCAGAAAGCCACGGCUAACUACGUG